This 418-nucleotide unclassified non-coding RNA is filed under the name soil metagenome. RNAcentral's name for it is "partial contains 5.8S ribosomal RNA, internal transcribed spacer 2, and large subunit ribosomal RNA". The stretch from base 1 to 120 matches the Rfam family "5.8S ribosomal RNA", at positions 35 to 154 of the family's 154-position model. The record is from RNAcentral.
GAUGAAGAACGUAGCGAAAUGCGAUAAGUAAUGUGAAUUGCAGAAUUCAGUGAAUCAUCGAAUCUUUGAACGCAUCUUGCGCUCCUUGGUAUUCCUUGGAGCAUGCCUGUUUGAGUAUCAUGAGCAAAUCUCAAAGUCAAUUCCUUUUGUUGAUUCAAUUGGUUUUGCUUUGGACUUGGAGGCCUUGCAGAUUUCACAGUCUGCUCCUCUUAAAUGCAUUAGCUGGAUCUCAGUAAUUAUGCUUGGUUCCACUCGGCGUGAUAAGUAUCACUCGCUGAGGACACUGUUAAAAAGGUGGCCAGGAAAAUACUGAUUGAACCGCUUCUAACGGUCUAUUAAGUUAGACAAUUACCCUUAAGUUUGAUCUCAAAUCAGGUAGGACUACCCGCUGAACUUAAGCAUAUCAAUAAGCGGAGGA